GACGAACGCUGGCGGCGUGCUUAACAUAUGCAAGUCGAACGGAAAGGCCCUGCUUUUGUGGGGUGCUCGAGUGGCGAACGGGUGAGUAACACGUGAGUAACCUGCCCUUGACUUUGGGAUAACUUCAGGAAACUGGGGCUAAUACCGGAUAGGAGCUCCUGCUGCAUGGUGGGGGUUGGAAAGUUUCGGCGGUUGGGGAUGGACUCGCGGCUUAUCAGCUUGUUGGUGGGGUAGUGGCUUACCAAGGCUUUGACGGGUAGCCGGCCUGAGAGGGUGACCGGCCACAUUGGGACUGAGAUACGGCCCAGACUCCUACGGGAGGCAGCAGUGGGGAAUAUUGCACAAUGGGCGGAAGCCUGAUGCAGCAACGCCGCGUGCGGGAUGACGGCCUUCGGGUUGUAAACCGCUUUCGCCUGUGACGAAGCGUGAGUGACGGUAAUGGGUAAAGAAGCACCGGCUAACUACGUGCCAGCAGCCGCGGUGAUACGUAGGGUGCGAGCGUUGUCCGGAUUUAUUGGGCGUAAAGGGCUCGUAGGUGGUUGAUCGCGUCGGAAGUGUAAUCUUGGGGCUUAACCCUGAGCGUGCUUUCGAUACGGGUUGACUUGAGGAAGGUAGGGGAGAAUGGAAUUCCUGGUGGAGCGGUGGAAUGCGCAGAUAUCAGGAGGAACACCAGUGGCGAAGGCGGUUCUCUGGGCCUUUCCUGACGCUGAGGAGCGAAAGCGUGGGGAGCGAACAGGCUUAGAUACCCUGGUAGUCCACGCUGUAAACGGUGGGUACUAGGUGUGGGGUCCAUUCCACGGGUUCCGUGCCGUAGCUAACGCUUUAAGUACCCCGCCUGGGGAGUACGGCCGCAAGGCUAAAACUCAAAGGAAUUGACGGGGCCCCGCACAAGCGGCGGAGCAUGCGGAUUAAUUCGAUGCAACGCGUAGAACCUUACCUGGGUUUGACAUGGAUCGGGAGUGCUCAGAGAUGGGUGUGCCUCUUUUGGGGUCGGUUCACAGGUGGUGCAUGGCUGUCGUCAGCUCGUGUCGUGAGAUGUUGGGUUAAGUCCCGCAACGAGCGCAACCCUUGUUCACUGUUGCCAGCACGUUAUGGUGGGGACUCAGUGGAGACCGCCGGGGUCAACUCGGAGGAAGGUGGGGAUGACGUCAAGUCAUCAUGCCCCUUAUGUCCAGGGCUUCACGCAUGCUACAAUGGCUGGUACAGAGAGUGGCGAGCCUGUGAGGGUGAGCGAAUCUCGGAAAGCCGGUCUCAGUUCGGAUUGGGGUCUGCAACUCGACCUCAUGAAGUCGGAGUCGCUAGUAAUCGCAGAUCAGCAACGCUGCGGUGAAUACGUUCCCGGG
This 1343-nucleotide ribosomal RNA is filed under the name uncultured bacterium. RNAcentral's name for it is "16S ribosomal RNA". It matches the Rfam family "Bacterial small subunit ribosomal RNA", at positions 28 to 1378 of the family's 1533-position model. The record is from RNAcentral.